GGCCCGGUGGUCAAGCGGUUAAGACACCGCCCUUUCACGGCGGCUUCAUGAGUUCGAAUCUCAUCCGGGUCACCA
Molecule: transfer RNA, 75 nt
Filed under: Clostridiales bacterium
Lineage: Bacteria; Bacillati; Bacillota; Clostridia; Eubacteriales
Also listed under: 3 other names
Description: tRNA-Glu
Rfam family: tRNA
About the family: Transfer RNA (tRNA) molecules are approximately 80 nucleotides in length. Their secondary structure includes four short double-helical elements and three loops (D, anti-codon, and T loops). Further hydrogen bonds mediate the characteristic L-shaped molecular structure. tRNAs have two regions of fundamental functional importance: the anti-codon, which is responsible for specific mRNA codon recognition, and the 3' end, to which the tRNAs corresponding amino acid is attached (by aminoacyl-tRNA synthetases). tRNAs cope with the degeneracy of the genetic code in two manners: having more than one tRNA (with a specific anti-codon) for a particular amino acid; and 'wobble' base-pairing, i.e. permitting non-standard base-pairing at the 3rd anti-codon position.
Source: RNAcentral